Molecule: small nucleolar RNA, 109 nt
Organism: Lactuca sativa (garden lettuce)
Lineage: Eukaryota; Viridiplantae; Streptophyta; Magnoliopsida; Asterales; Asteraceae
Source: RefSeq, a predicted model, not a curated record
CUUAAGUAUGUGCUGCUUGCUGUAAAUAUGGACAUACAACAAUUAUGUGUUGGCUUUUAGGUGGGCGUUUCAUGAGCCAAAAACACCCACAAAGGACCUACAUACAUUA